GUGAGGAAUAUUGGACAAUGGGCGCAAGCCUGAUCCAGCCAUGCCGCGUGCAGGAAGACGCAUCUAUGGUGUGUAAACUGCUUUUGUACGGGAAGAAACACUCCCUCGUGAGGGAGCUUGACGGUACCGUAAGAAUAAGGAUCGGCUAACUCCGUGCCAGCAGCCGCGGUAAUACGGAGGAUCCAAGCGUUAUCCGGAAUCAUUGGGUCUAAAGGGUCCGUAGGCGGUUUAAUAAGUCAGUGGUGAAAGCCCAUCGCUCAACGAUGGAACGGCCAUUGAUACAGUUAGACUUGAAUUACAAGGAAGUAACUAGAAUAUGUAGUGUAGCGGUGAAAUGCUUAGAUAUUACAUGGAAUACCAAUUGCGAAGGCAGGUUACUACUUGUGGAUUGACGCUGAUGGACGAAAGCGUGGGGAGCGAACAGGAUUAGAUACCCGAGUAGUCC
RNAcentral lists this ribosomal RNA (445 nucleotides) under uncultured bacterium. RNAcentral's name for it is "partial 16S ribosomal RNA". It matches the Rfam family "Bacterial small subunit ribosomal RNA", at positions 354 to 796 of the family's 1533-position model. The record is from RNAcentral.